UGCUGAGUGCCUGAUUAAAGGAUAAUUUUGAUAGAAUUAACCAUGUGUGCCCCACACCUCUGCAA
This 65-nucleotide transfer RNA is filed under the name Cryptocephalus lividimanus. RNAcentral's name for it is "tRNA-Ile". RNAcentral also lists the same sequence under 1 other name. Lineage: Eukaryota; Metazoa; Arthropoda; Insecta; Coleoptera; Chrysomelidae. The record is from RNAcentral.